GGGUCAGUAGGUUGGUCGUGCCACCGGUACGUACUGGUCUCACUGAUUCCUCCUUCCUGAAGAACCGUAAUGCCAUUAAUUUGGUGUGGCGGGGAAACAGGACUGUUACUUUGAAAAAAUUAGAGUGUUUAAAGCAAGCUAACGCUUGAAUACAUUAGCAUGGGAUAAUGAAAUAGGACGAUCGAUCCUAUUUUGUUGGUUUCUAGGAUUGACGUA
RNAcentral lists this ribosomal RNA (216 nucleotides) under Glomeromycotina sp. RNAcentral describes it as "partial small subunit ribosomal RNA". The stretch from base 40 to 216 matches the Rfam family "Eukaryotic small subunit ribosomal RNA", at positions 686 to 864 of the family's 1831-position model. The record is from RNAcentral. Lineage: Eukaryota; Fungi; Glomeromycota.